UACGUAGGGGGCAAGCGUUGUCCGGAUUUACUGGGCGUAAAGAGCGUGUAGGCGGCCAAGCAGGUCCGUUGUGAAAACUGGAGGCUUAACCUCCAGACGUCGACGGAAACCGCGCGGCUAGAGUCCGGAAGAGGAGAGUGGAAUUCCUGGUGUAGCGGUGAAAUGCGCAGAUAUCAGGAAGAACACCCGUGGCGAAAGCGGCUCUCUGGGACGGUACUGACGCUGAGACGCGAAAGCGUGGGGAGCGAACAGG
RNAcentral lists this ribosomal RNA (253 nucleotides) under uncultured bacterium. Its description in RNAcentral is "partial 16S ribosomal RNA". It matches the Rfam family "Bacterial small subunit ribosomal RNA", at positions 524 to 776 of the family's 1533-position model. The record is from RNAcentral.